ACUCCUACGGGAGGCAGCAGUGGGGAAUAUUGGACAAUGGGGGAAACCCUGAUCCAGCAAUGCCGCGUGUGUGAAGAAGGCCUGAGGGUUGUAAAGCACUUUCAACUGUGAGGAUUGGGAUUUUUGGUUAAUACCCCGAGGAUCCUUGACGUUAGCAGUAGAAGAAGCACCGGCUAACUCCGUGCCAGCAGCCGCGGUAAUACGGAGGGUGCAAGCGUUAAUCGGAAUUACUGGGCGUAAAGCGUCUGUAGGCGGCUUAUUAAGUCGGAUGUGAAAUCCCAGGGCUUAACCUUGGAACUGCAUUCGACUGGUAAGCUAGAGUGUGUAAGAGAUAGGUGGAAUUCCAGGUGUAGCGGUG
This 358-nucleotide ribosomal RNA is filed under the name uncultured bacterium. RNAcentral's name for it is "bacterial SSU rRNA". It matches the Rfam family "Bacterial small subunit ribosomal RNA", at positions 335 to 683 of the family's 1533-position model. The record is from RNAcentral.